Molecule: long non-coding RNA, 8153 nt
Organism: Onychostoma macrolepis
Lineage: Eukaryota; Metazoa; Chordata; Actinopteri; Cypriniformes; Cyprinidae
Exons: 5
Source: RefSeq, a predicted model, not a curated record
AGCUGUGUUUCUAGUUAAAAUGUACAGUUAUUGAAAUUAUUUGAAGUCAUUUUACUGUAACUCUACUUCUAUUAAAAUUGAAAUUUUGGUUCUGCAUUUGCUAUGUGAAUUCAAAUGUAAAUCAAAUUCUGGAAUUGAACUGCAAUACAUACUCACUUCAGUUCUAAAUAGUGCAUGACCUUGUGUUUAAAGCAUGGAUUUCCGAGAAAACUUAGACAAAAACAAAACCAUCUCAAAAUGCAGAGAAUAUUAAAAGUCUGUGUUUUUGGUGCAUUUAUUGUUAAAAUGACCAUACUGGUUUUACAAUGUCAAGACAGCAUGAAAUUAAUAUUGACUCUUUUUUUACAGCUUGUGUUUUAUAGCUUCUCUUUUGUGUACAGAUCAUAAUAUCACUGUUUGCCAAAGUCAGUAGAUUUUAUUAACUUCCUCCAGUCUUUAGAGACGAUUUGAUGCACAACCUAAUUAUGGUAAAACAAUGGCGUCCUUAUAAACAGGUAGGGGUGCCGGCACAUCAGGCAACCUAGAUAGAUAUUUAGGGGAGCUUUGUUUCUUGGCUUGCAGCCAUAUCUUGAUGACAUUGUAGCUCUGUCCUCCAAACAGUAUGAUGCAAUGAAAGACAAUCUUCCACACAGCAGUGAGCGGCCCUGCUUUACCUCGCUACCUACAUUAUUCUCAGAGCGUCCUAUGCAAGCGAGUCCCUGUAUUGUGCAGUUGUUCUCUAAAUGCAUAGCACCAGAAGAAUGCACUAAAAUACAAGCGUGUUCACCUGGUGGAACAUGCAGGCUCUGCAGGGCGUAUAGCUGCUAACGCUGCCAAGGCUGGCCACAGUAAAGACUGGCAUCCAUUUACAUCAUGCUUGAGUGAACGGAUACUCAGAUUACAGGAAAUGCAAACACUGGCCUCCGGGCUGGUGCUUUCAGUCUGCUUGUCUUACAUAACCACAAAUUGCUGGACAUUUGCGAGCCGGAGGCUCCAUUGUCUCAGCUCUAUGUUCAUAUUUUAGGGUUGUAAACAGAAACCGAUUGGGGUGAGAUUUCGUAACGUCAGGCUUUGUUUUACGGCACUGGUAUUUUCUCGUGAAGGGGAACUACCUGAAUGUGCAUUAUUUUUGUUGCAUGGUUGCUGUUAACAGGACAAACCUAAAGCUGUGAACUAUAUUUUACUUUAUUUUUAGAUAACUCUAUCUAACAACUAUAUUGUUCAUUAUCAUGACAUGAAAAAAAAAAAAGUUUGUCCACAUCAAUGUACUCUUUGCCACAACUUAUAUAUGACAAAGCAUUUCUUUGCUGUUUUACGAUGCAUUUUUUGGCACACACAAUUUUAUUGCGGAUAUUUACUGCUAAGUUGCUCAUUUUAGCGUACGGGUAAUUUCACUGAUCAAAAUAAAAUAAAAUAAUAUAAAAUAAAAUCUCCAUAUAGCAUUUAUGUCUUCUCUUUUUUUUUGUAGUAUUUAAAAACUGUUCAGCACUAUUUAUUUUUGAUUCAGUCAUGUAAAUAAAAUAGUAUUUAUUCUUAUAACAUUUAUUAAUUUUUAUAAAAAGUCAUAUUUAAUAAUAUCAAAUUAAAUAUUACAUAUUAGUAGUAGUAGUAUAAUUUUAUACUUUUUUGGUAUAUUUAUUAAUUUAUUGUUUUUCGUUUUUGCUAUUUACAGACAGGAUUUGCAGUUUAGCUGGAUAAUAUUUUAGCCCGUGUUGGUGAAUUGUAACUGCACCAAAAAGCAUCUUUAAUGGCUUUUUAAAAAGCCAUUUUUAGUUCCCCAAUCAUUCUGAAAAUGUUAGUUUUUAGUUGUAAAAUAAACCCUAAAAUAGCCAUUAGAAAAUACUGUGUAUAAAAACCCUUUUUGCAACCUUCAAGGUUAGUUUUUGGUUACUAAACUCGAUUGUUGUCGUUUGGCUCCCCCCAAAAAUAGCAAAAUGAGAACCAUAUGCUAACAUUAGGAGUAUGUUGUUGUUGUUUUUUUUUUGCUGGAAUGUAGUUUGAUUCUAUCUAUCUAUAGGCUAUAUACUGUAUUUUGCCAUGUACAUAUACAUCACUAUCUUUCAUUAUAUAAUAUUACAUGUUUUAUCAAGGAGCAAUUUUUUCAAUAUUAUUUUUAAUUUAUUUUUUGCAGGCUCUUAUUUUUCCCUGUUCAAUUGUCUUUCCUGUCUUUGACGUCAUAUCUCAGUUAGUCACUAGUGAAGAAUUCGGUCCUGUGUGUGGUGUUGUGCUGCCCUCAGUCAAUCAGCGUUGCAUUGACGUCAUCUUGUGAAUCUCUAUGCAUGCACACAUUUCUCUUUGCAUUUCUCUAUUCCCAUGAGCAAUGAUACAAUAUUUUAUAAUGCUUACUUCGAGGGUUCCUGCACUUCCCAAGAGUAUGCUAAAAAAUAGCUUUGAACGGAUUUGUCAUUUUAUACACUGCAUUUAAAAAAUACACUUAAGAUCCUUAUUAUUUCUGUGGCAGGUAAAUAAUGAUAAAUAUUGAUAUAAGUUAAAUUACAUAACCUCAUGUUGAAAAAGCUAUUCAAUGUCGUUGGCUACAGCCUCCGUCCGAGAUGCCUGCAUUAGCAGAUACAUAAAUCAGUCACUUGCAAACAAGGAUUAGAAUAAUCUCAACAUCCACCUCAUAUUUGUUUUCAUUUCUGUAUGCAACAGAUGCGCCACUUAUGCAGUUGCAUAAAGAACAGUCGAACAUCCCUCAACAUUGGUGAAUUUCACUAAUGCCUUCAAACUGCUUAUGAACGCUUAACCAAGCAAAUGGAAUUGUAGAUGUACUGAAGUCAAUUAGGCAUCAAUAACCCCAGCUGAGACUGUUUACCUCGUCUGUGUUACUGUGGAGAGAGCAUUUUCUAGUCCGUUUGAAGUUGCUCUCGACCACAUCUGCAGCAUACUGGCUGAGUCAUACCUGUAGUUGUGUCAACAGCUCUGAAACCUACAGAUUUCAUGAUUUCCUUUACAUUUCUGAGUAAGUCAGCUCAGUCAUUUCAAAUGUGCAAAUAGGUGCAAAUUCAAUGCACUAAGAUGGCCAUCUUUGUGUGUGUUUAUGUGUGUGAGCAUGAGAACAGGCACCCAGAUGGCUCUUGCUUUGCUCAUGAGACUUAAUUGAGUUCUCAUGUUAUGCUGCACUUAAGUGUGUUUUGAUGUUUCUCCUAAGAUCAUUAGUAGAAUUAAUUAGUACAGAUGUUAGCUAGCAACACUCAGGUCAUGGGUUCGUUUCUCAUAGAAUGUAUGAACUAUGAAUAUAUACAGCAUGCUAAAAGUUUAGGGCCGGUGGUAAGACUUAGAGAUUGAAUCUAUUAUGCUUACAAACGCUUCAUUUAUUUGAUCAGAAAAUAAUCAGUAAUAUUAUUACAAUUUAAAAUAACUGAUCUCAAUUUAAAUAUGUUUUAAAAUAUAAUUUAUUCCUGUGAUACGAUGCUGAAUUUUCAGCAUCAUUACUUCAGUCUUCAGUGUCACAUGAUCCUUCAGAAAUCAUUCUGAUAUGCUGAUUUGCUGCUUAAGAAACAUUUGUGAUUAUUAUUAGUGUGCUGUUUCAUAUUUUUGUUAAAAAUGUGAUCAUUUUGUUUUGUAAUUUUGCUUUAAUCGUUAUAAUUUUCAUUAUAAAUGUAUUUACUGUCACUUUUGAUUAAUUUAAUGCAUCCUUGCUGAAUAAAAGCAUUAAAUUCAUUCAGAAAAAAAAAUCCUUUUAACAGAAAUGUACAUUGAAUUAGAAAAAAAUCUUAAAAUGCAUAAUGUAAAUGUAGAACAAAUCAGACAGUUGUUGAUACAGAGUAAGAUUAUAGAGUUAUACAAUGAAUGUUGAUGGCACAGCUAAGAUCAUUUUGAAUGUAUUUGUUAAGAAAUGUUCAUGUUGAGGUCUACAUGCCUUGGUGUCUAGGGGCAGCAGAUCUGAGCAGAGGCCGAGACUUUGUUGAGAUCUCUGAAGCUCUGGGGUCUUUUCCUCAGUAGAAACAUCCGGGAAGCUGGAGAAUUCAUUUAAAAGUCUCUCAGUUUGCUUUGAAUUGAACAUUUUUACAGUCCAGCAGAAACAAUUGAGAUGAAAAUGUUCAUCUCAACCAAACUGAAAAUUUUGUUAUAAACCCUUAUGCUACAGUGAAUAAUGACUUAAAUUUCAUCCCGUUUCUCUAUCACAUGACUUUAGAAGUCUUGUAAUAUAGUGCAUAAGCCGCAUGGACUAUGAUACUUUUAUGGUGCUUUAUUGGCCUUCUUAAGCUUCACUAUAAAUGGUCAUUGUUUAGAAAAGAACAACAUCGUGUUUUUAGGCAUAAAAAGCAACUACACAGGUUUGGAAUGACAGAAGGGUGAGUAAAUAAUGCCAGAAAUGACAUUUUCGGGUCAAUUGUUCCUUUUAAAGAGACCUCAUUUGUGUUUCGUCUUCCCUGCGGGGACGUCCAUGAUGUGAAAACGAGUUAAACGAUACCUGGAUGCGCUCUUCAGAAGCGUCGCUCGUACAUUAAUGAGCACAGCUGGGCGCUGUCAGCCGAGGGCUCUUCCUGCUUUUACUACCUCUUCCUCUCCCGUCUGUUUCUGACUGAGAGGCUGAAAAUGAUCUAAGGGGCAGUGAUGCUUCCAUGGCAACAAUCUGUCACGGCAUAUGUGUGUGUGAUUGUCCUUCCGCUGUGAUGUCCAUUCCCUCAUGUGACGGCUCACACACAAACAAACACAUACAUGCACUUUGCACGUACUUCAACCAUGUUGGCAUGUCCCUAGAGACUGUGAACCAGUGUUAUUUUAUUGUCAUUAUAGUUUUUAUUAAUAACUUUAUUAAUUUAGUUUUCUUUUUCUGCUACAACUUUAGUUAAAGUUAUUUUAUUUGAGAUUCAUUUUUUUUCUACUACAUCAAGCUAAACUAAAUUAAAAUGAGAAAUGUUGCCAUGGCAACUCGUUCUUUUUAAAUUAUUUUAAUUUAGUUAGCAUUUUUUUUUAAAGUCAUAAAAAAAUAUUCUUUAAUGGUUUUAGUUUUAAUUUUAGUUUUUGCUAAAGAAAAGAAAAAAAUCACGUGUCUAGUAAUAGGUGAAAAAUGGUUUGAGUUAUUUUGGUUAAAGGAAUAGUUCACCCAGAAAUGAAAAUAUGCUGAGAAUAUACUCACCCUCUGGCCAUUCAAGAAGUAUAUGAGUUUGUGUCUUCUUUGGAAAAGAUUUUGGCAAAUUUAUCAUUUCAUCAAUUGCUCACCAAUGGAUCCUCUAGUCACUAGUGAAUGGGUGCCAUCAGAAUGAGAAUACAAAUGUGACCCUGGACCACAAAAUCAGUCUUAAGUCGCUGGGGUAUAUUUGUAGCAAUAGCCAAAAAUACAUUGUAUGGGUCAAAAUGAUCGAUUUUACUUUUAUGCCAAAAAUCAUUAGGAUAUUAAAUAAAGAUCAUGUUCCAUGAAGAUAUUUUGUAAAUUUCUUACCGUAAAUGUAUCUCAACUUUAUUUUUGUUUAGUAAUAUGCAUUGCUAAGAACUUCAUUUGGACAAAUUUAAAGGUGAUUUUCUCAAUAUUUAGAUUUUUUUGCAUUUUGAAAAUCAGAUUCCAGAUUUUCAAAUAGUUAUAUCUCAGCCAAAUAUUGUCCGAUCCUAACAAACCAUACAUCAAUGGAAAGCUUAUUUAUUCAACUUUCAGAUGAUGUAUAAAUCUCAAUUUCGAAAAAUUGACACUUAAGACUGGUUUUGUCGUCCAGGGUCACAAAUAGCUGAUAAAAACAUCACAACUGUUAUCCCUGAAAUUGUAUUAACCCAAAUUAAUUAAGUACACUAAACACAAAAAAUACAAUUUUGUAUGUAGCACUGAAUUUUUUGAGUUAGGUGUACGAUUUACAUGAGUUUCCUCACUCUAUUGAAUGUUUUAAGUUGAAUCAACUCAACUAAGCUUAUUUGAGUCUGUUGCCAGGAACGCGACACAAAGAAGCUGAUUGGCUGUUUGAACUGACGCCCCGAGGAUGCGCAUUUCUGUCAGUAUUUGCUGAUUCCAAGAAGAGCUGUGCUGAGCUAAAAUAAGAUGAUGGGAAUGAAAAGAUGGAAAUUGAUGGAACCCCUUCACUUCCAUUUUAUGAAUCACCAAGGACCAUGGAUUCAGUCACCUACAUUUUAAAUGGCCUGAGGACCUCUGACCUCACUGACAUGAAGUGUGUUGCCAUAAGAGGGAUUCCUGUAAUACCUGAUCACCCUCCUUUGAAGAACUUCAUGAAGUUCUUCAAAGCAUGCUUUGCUUCUGAUGAGUCACACCAAAACGUUCCAGUUGGAAUCCGCGAAAAAGCUGCAUCACGAUGUUUUUAACUUUAAACCGUAGCUUUUGGCCAAAAUAUAGUCCAUAAUCCACAAUAACGCUUCCUCCAGUGAAAAAGUCCACCCUCUGUUUUGUACUGUUUUUGCUUGUAAACAGUGCUUGAUCUGUGCAUAUUUCUCUCCUGAUUCAGACAAGAUUACAUUUUCAGUGGACAAAAGCAAUGUAUGCAGGAUCUAUAUUUUGGCUGGAGCAACGGUUUAAAGCUGAAAUGCAUUAAUGAUGGAUAUAUUUCUUAUUUGUUGAUUAUUGUGAUGUUUUUAUCAGUUGUUUGGACUCUCAUUCUGACGGCACCCAUUCACUGCAGAGGAUCCAUUGCUGAGCAAGUGAUGUAAUGCUCAAUUUCUCCAAAUCUGUUCAGAUGAGAAACAAACUCAUUUACAUCUUGGAUGGCCUGAGGUGGAGUAAAUUUUUGGGUUAACUAUUCCUUUUACCAUAAUAACCAUGCCAUGCGCUAAGCGUUUUUCACCCCCAUUAGGCCUACUAGACGUGUGAUUGCUCAUACUACUCGCUGAUACCGGCACACAUAGAUAAAGAGAAAUGAUAACCACAGCUCGGCAUGCGGGUCACCCUUUUGUUCCCCUACCUCACGGUCAAUCACGAUAAUACCAUUCAGUAAGGCGACAGUAAUGCAGCCCAUAUGCAAAACCUGCCACCGGUAUGCUAAACAGGAUUUACAAGCCCGAUAUUGAUGCAGCCUAAUUUCUGAAGCGGAGCACAGGAAGUGUUGUCAGUUCAGAUUUAGCCGUGUUACCCGAGGAUAUUCAACAACUUCUCUAAAAAGUAUAUCAUAAUGACUUUCUUUUCUAGUUGCCGCACUUUGGUACGCGUCUGCUCUGCUGGCGUUGUAGCAAUUACUCUCCGAACGGCUCGGAUAUCAGCCGCCAUCCAUCAUUGGGUUAACGCUUUUCGCCGUGUUGGUAAUGAUCGUUCUCUGCAGGAUUAUGCUGUUUCUGCACCUAUCUAAUUAGGUCUUCUCUCUGAUAGCGAUGUGUCUCGUUGAAAAUGGGGCUGUUUUGUAUUAAAAUAUGAUUGAUUGCCUGGUUUGCUUGCUGUGCAUCCUCGGGAGCCGAUGUAGCGGAGGCAUCAACCUCGAUGAGUCAUGAGUAAAUGACAGACUGCUUGUUCUGUUCCCUUCAGUUCCACAAACACGGCAACACAAUGGUCCACGAGACACACACAGACCAGAGCUGAGAUCCAUUUAGAGCUGAAAGAGAAAGAUUUGACACAACAGUAAUGGAACGUUGUGAAUCAGCGUGCAUGGAGAUGGAGGUUUAUUUUUCUUCUUUGUUUCUUUCUCUGGCACUUUUUCAGUCAAGGAUCAGUGAAUGGAGGUGCUUAACCUUCAGAAAAUGUUGAUCGUCUAUCUUGGGAGGUCAAGCUAAAUAUUAUAUGAGCUGUUUUGUUGCAUCUAUAUUAUAUGAGGCUUGCAAACUUUUGCAACACCGCAGUUUGGGACUUGUCAGAAUAUAGUUUAAAACCCUGUUUUUUCUAUAAUUUGAUUUAAAAUAUUAGUGUUUUAUUUUACUUUUUUUUUCAUUAUUAAUGGGUAGGCCCUAGUAGGGUUGCAGGUUUAGCAGAGGCAGGCCAAGUGUUGUAUUGUAGUUAUUGCAACACACAAUUUUUACAUAUUAAUUGUAUUUUCUUUUGCCGUUUUUUUGGUUUAUAUUUUUAAAUUGUGCAAUCAAUCAAUAAUCAGUCUAAAUGAUUAACCUCUGAUUAAUUUUUAUCAGUUUUUAUGUAUAUUAACAGUACUCUUGCUAGUUUUGUUGUCUGUAUUUUAAGAUAUGUGCAAUAAAUAAAUAAAUAAAUAAAUACAAAAAUAACAACACUGAAUGGUAAAGUUCAUUUAAUUGUCUCCAGUCUUACAUGUAUUAAUUGUACCUUUUUGCCAUUUUAAAUCACGCAAUAAAUA